This 329-nucleotide unclassified non-coding RNA is filed under the name soil metagenome. RNAcentral's name for it is "partial contains 5.8S ribosomal RNA, internal transcribed spacer 2, and large subunit ribosomal RNA". The stretch from base 1 to 120 matches the Rfam family "5.8S ribosomal RNA", at positions 35 to 154 of the family's 154-position model. The record is from RNAcentral.
GAUGAAGAACGUAGCGAAAUGCGAUAAGUAAUGUGAAUUGCAGAAUUCAGUGAAUCAUCGAAACUUUGAACGCACAUUGCGCCCCUUGGUAUUCCGAGGGGCAUGCCUAUUCGAGCGUCAUUAUCACCCCUCAAGCCUAGCUUGGUGUUGAGGCCUGCUGUCAAGGCAGCCUCUAAAAUCAGUGGCAGUGCUGUCAGGCUCUAAGCGUAGUAAAUCUAAUCGCUAUAGACACCUGGUGGACACUCGCCAGAACCCCCCCAUUUUUUAAUGAUUGACCUCGGAUUAGGUAGGGAUACCCGCUGAACUUAAGCAUAUCAAUAAGCGGAGGA